UUCGUCUCUUCCAUGGCUAAAAUUACAGAGCCAUUAGCAAACCUCGCAAUCUUUCCAGUUUCUAAAGUAAUUUUGCGUGAUCCAAUCUCAAAUUCCUCAGUGAAUGUCUCGAGAACCUUCGUUCGAGCAACAGGAGUAUCUGUAUUGGCCACUGACGGUGAUGUGGACGGCGCAAAGCCAAGACGACCACUGCAGAUUGUACGAAAACCAAAUCUUCGCCAUGUGAGAACGUACGGUAAGUUGCAGAGAAGUGGGUUUAUUUUGUUUCUUACAGAAGCCAUUAGAGAGUUGAAAGG
This 296-nucleotide unclassified non-coding RNA is filed under the name Hevea brasiliensis (rubber tree). Lineage: Eukaryota; Viridiplantae; Streptophyta; Magnoliopsida; Malpighiales; Euphorbiaceae. The record is from RNAcentral.